RNAcentral lists this ribosomal RNA (280 nucleotides) under Stygnus klugi. RNAcentral's name for it is "partial large subunit ribosomal RNA". The record is from RNAcentral. Lineage: Eukaryota; Metazoa; Arthropoda; Arachnida; Opiliones; Stygnidae.
UUUUUUAAUUGGGGACUGGAAUGAAAGGUAGAAAUUUUAAGGGAAUGUUUUUGAAAAUAAUUUUGAAUUUAAAUUAAAAAUAAAAAUGUUUUUGUGAUUUUUUGGGACGAUAAGACCCUAGAAGUUUUAAAGAUUAAUUUUUAAUUGGGGCAAUUUUUGAAGAAAGCAAUUUUUUUAGAAUUAAAUUAUUUUAAAUAAAAUUACUCUAGGGAUAACAGCGUUAUUUAAUUAGAAAGUUCUUAUUAAUAAUUAAGUUUGCGACCUCGAUGUUGAAUUAAAU